Bubalus bubalis (water buffalo) is the source of this 3866-nucleotide long non-coding RNA. RefSeq lists it as uncharacterized. NCBI's taxonomy places the organism in Eukaryota, Metazoa, Chordata, Mammalia, Artiodactyla, Bovidae. The record is from RefSeq and is a predicted model, not a curated record. The transcript has 2 exons.
GGGUCGCAGAGUCGGACACGACUGAGCGACUGAACUGAACUGAACUGAACUGGGUUUUUCCAAAACAUGCCAUCUGGUGGCUGCUAUUGGAAUCACAAGACCUGUGUUUCAGGUUAGAACCAGUGUUUUGGGUAAGCGUUGGUAAGGAUAAAUGCAAAGGAUAAAAGAUUCCAUUUACAAGCAAGCGUGCCGACUUACUUUAGUGUUUGUAAAGUCACAGUAGCUAUGAACAAUUCCAGGUGGUGAGAAAUCGCUUGUGGAGGGGAAACAGAAAAGACCAAUGGAAAGACGCAUAAUAGGCAUAUUUAUGUGUGUUGGGGAUAGAUGGAGGGGGUUGUCCAGACAAGACAGAAGACAAGAGGGAGAGAAUUAGAAGGAAAGGAAAGUGGACCAACUUAAUGAGAUUGGAGGAGUUCCUGACGUAUGCCUUAGACCUCAGUUAAUCCUUUUACUCUUAAGGAUCUCCCUCACUUUACCAUUUAAUUUAAUUUAACUUAAUUUAAUUCAACAAGCCUGUAUUGAACACAGAAGUGCUUCACAAGAUGUGGGCAAUCCUGAGUGAUCAGGAAGAGCUGUCCUCACUUCUUAAGCAGCUCAAAAGAGUUUAGCCCCUGAAUUCUGUGACAUGCUUAGGGUUUUGGGGAAGAUGUCUUCCUACUUCAUACAUUAAAAAAAAAAGUUUUUAAUUGAGUAAAACACAUAUGGCAUAAAAUUUACUCCUUUAACCAUUUUUGAGUGUAUAGUCAGUAAUUUUAAGCACAUUUACAUUGUGCGCAACCAUUAUCACUUCAGAACUUUACUCAUCUUCCCAGAGUGAACUUCAAUAACUAUUAAAUGCUAAUUCCCCAUUCCCCCUUCUUCCCCGCCCCUGGUGACCACCAUUCUCCUUUAUGUCUCCAUGAUUUUGACUGUUCUAGGUACAUCAUAUAAGUGGAAUCAUACAGUGUUUUUGUGUGUGUGUUUGGGUGACUGGCUUACAGUCACAAUGUCUCCAAGGUGCAUUUAUGUUAUGAUUUGUGCCCGAGUUUCCUCCCUUUUUGAGGAGGUGCAUGGAUACACCCCAUCUUGUUUACGCACUCAUCGCUUGAUGGGCGCUCGGGUUGCUUCCGCCUCUUGGCUGUUGUGAGCAGUGUGCUGUGAACAUGGGCGUGCAAGUAUCUGCGUUCAGUUCUUUCAGAUAUUAAUAUAACGAGAAGUGAAACUGCUGCAUCGUGUGGCAGUUCUGUUUUCAAAUUUUUCAGAAACCAUCAUACUGUUUCUACCACACCUCAUGUUUUUUUUUGUGAAGAAAUGCCACCCCUACUUAAGCCAAACACAGAGUCCCCCAAUGAAUGAGAAUUGGAGAAUUCCUGAGGUGGAACUUUAUCACCAGGUGGGAAGGAAGGGCUUGUGUUUUUCCAAAUUCACCUCUUGCUUCUCUCCCUGGUAACCCCUACCCUGGACUUGCCUAGCACCAACAUAUUUAAGCCAAAUUUCAAAUCCACCAAGGCUGGAAUGGAGAAGAACCCUGACUUUCUCAGUGGAUUGAAAGGGGUAGGGGCCCAGUUAGUGAGUUGGAGGGUGAUGCCUGCUGUCCAUGUGAAGCCUUAUCCUCUUGACCUUGGGGAAUUUGGGGUCCAGGCUGAGGUCUCAUCAGAAACAGAAGGAGAAUCAAGCCUCAGUGUUGAAGGGAAGACUCACAAGACUAUCAUCUUCCCUCCCAGCGCCUGCCCUGCUGCUGAGGACAGCUCCCCUUGGAGCAAAAAUGCAAACAAGAGAGCCCAGUCCCGCCGUUACUCCACGUGUCAUGCAGGGGGCAGCCUGACAUGGAGAAAAGGCAGCUUUGGGAUUGGAGAAACCUGAGUUUGAAUCCUUCUGGCGCGUACCGGUCAUAUAACCUCAGAUGUGUUCCUCAGUUUUAUAGAGACACAUUUCAGGGUUGCCAGGGCCAGCGAUGAGCACAUUGGCAUCUUCAGUGCCUGCACUGUAGUAAAGAUGGCAUGGCAUGGCGCGUGUCGAGUGCCAAGCACAGCACCCAGAGCGCAAGGGUUCCCCGGACAUUCCCUACUUGCCUUCCGCACCGAUCUUGUCUCAGUUACUGACUUUGAUCAUGUUCCUCCUGAGUUUUCAUCUCUCUUAUCUACCAGGGCCAGCCUUCUGGGACUGUUCUCACCAAGAAGGGCUCCAUCUUUGAUUAUUUCCAGUUGAAUUCUUGGUCCAACUGGUCUUCUCCAGAUGAGCUCAGACACAUACCUCUCAGGCCCGCAAUUCAAUACAUAUGGGGAAGGAGUGGGAGGGGCACCACCCCGUCCUGGAGCUAAUGCCAAAAUAGGGCAAGUGCUUGUCACUAUCUCAUCUGAACACCGGCUCUGAAUGACGGGAGGUUGCCCAGUCCCGACCUUGUCUGGCUUUUGUUAAAUUGUGUUACAGCCUUAACGUUACUUAACUGUAGAGGACUUUGGGAUGUGUGUGUGUGUAUGAGUCUGUGGGUUAAUAGCAAUUUGUGAUAGAUGCCUUUGGCACCCACAUACUCAAUAACACCCACACUCACAAAAAAAAAAAAAGAAGGGGGAGGGGAGUUGUUUUUAUGGGAGAUAACAUAACUGCUUGCAAUUUGGCUAUUCAUUGUAUCUUUGGCAUUUUAUGUACUGCAUUAGCGGAGGCAAUUUCAUGCAUAUGGAUAUAAUGCAUUAAGUGGAGGCAUUUAAAUAUAGUGAAACUAAUUUUAUGAUGAUUAGUUGAAGGAAAACAUUGCAUUCGUAUCAUCUAUAUAGAAGCCAAUUUGCAUGAAAAUGCCCAAAGUUGCUAUGCCAACAUUUUCUGUGCUGCUGGUCGGGGUCGUCUCCGAGUCAAGACUUUGUAUUAAAAAUCGGUCUCCAGUGCCCAUGUCUUUAAUUCAUUGCAAGCUGUAGGCCAUUUGCUCACAAAGCGCUCGCAGUAAAACAAAUGAAUAGCUAAAAUACUCAUUUGCAUGAUUCCCAUUUGAAAACGAUUCCCCUGAAAUUAAAAAAGCGUGUUACUCGGUUGUGAAGAUGGAUGGGCCAGUGAGGCGGGCAAUUAAUAUUUUCGGCGUUCUCUUUAAAGCCCUCCCAAGACUAGGAACAGCACAUGCCAGACAAAUUGGGCCCCACAACAGUUUCAGGGCCUCGGCGGCAGCAGCUUGCUUCCACUGUCUCCCCUUUAUUGUCUCACUUACAUUAUGCAGUAAUUAAAACUAUUUACCAUUCCUACUUAUCCGCCAUCUGCUACCGCGGGAGGUUCCUCUUCUUUAGAAAGCUUCUUAAAGAGCAGCAAGAAGAAGGCGAAGGUUUGGCCCUGACUGCAGGAAGGGGCUUUGGGGGUUUGUCUUCUCCUCCUGGCCAUGUCCACCUGUCCCUCCGUGAAAGGAAUGAAGGAAUGACGGGGGAGGGCCCACCCCCGACAGAGCAGCACAGACAGAGAAACCAAACUGGGCAGGAAAUGGGAACCGACUCGCUCAGCAGGAUGAAGUGGGCCCUGGAGUCUGCAGACUCUCAACCCGCGGCUGCCCCAGGAGGACAGGGUCUGAAUGGAGAACACCUUCCGCUGCUCUCCUGAGCCCGCCUGGAGCUGGGCAUGUAGCAGGUUUUCCGAAGUACUUGUUGAGUUAAGCCAACAGUGAGGCUAUCUGUCUUGACGUCACCGCCCAAUCAUGAUGCCUGCUCUGAAGCUUCAUCCCACAGGCCCUCUCGGCUCACAUCUCGCCUUCUUAAUGGUCUUUUCCUGGAACGUAACCAAAGGGUUUGGAUUAGCCCAGAACCCUGCCCCUUGGCUGUGACUUUUCUGGCUUCAUUACUUGCCGGAGGCCAUGGGGCCACGCACACAGCACAUGCGGCCCCAUCUUUUCCUGUCCUGUAACUUCACCUCCG